RNAcentral lists this microRNA precursor (70 nucleotides) under Nasonia giraulti. RNAcentral's name for it is "microRNA ngi-mir-375 precursor". Its record names the gene ngi-mir-375. It matches the Rfam family "mir-375 microRNA precursor family". Lineage: Eukaryota; Metazoa; Arthropoda; Insecta; Hymenoptera; Pteromalidae. The record is from miRBase by way of RNAcentral.
UGGUCCAUCGAUCCCAACGAUCAAUAAACUGUGUUAUUAAACAAGUUUGUUCGUUCGGCUCGAGUUAUCA